GCUUUGGAAGACACCCUGAAGUAUAAGCAAGAAGAUUCUUUGCUUAAAACGUUAAAACCACCACCACCACCGAAAACAACAAAACCCAAGUCAAGAAGUCAGCAGUUAUUUUUUAUGAAACACAAACUAAGUGUUCCACUUGUUUGCACUUGCUUUUUGAAUUAAGCUGCUUGCAAGAAAAAAGUUUGAAAGGAUUAGUAAAACACCAUCAAAACGAAAACUAG
Molecule: long non-coding RNA, 224 nt
Organism: Camelus ferus (Wild Bactrian camel)
Lineage: Eukaryota; Metazoa; Chordata; Mammalia; Artiodactyla; Camelidae
Rfam family: Highly up-regulated in liver cancer conserved region
Source: Rfam